GUAGUACUUCCUUCGUUCCAAAUUACUCGUCGCAGAAAUGGAUGUAUCUAAAACUAAAAUACAUCUAGAUAUAUUCAUACCCGCGACAAGUAAUUCGGAACGGAGGAAGGACGAA
Triticum aestivum (bread wheat) is the source of this 115-nucleotide non-coding RNA. NCBI's taxonomy places the organism in Eukaryota, Viridiplantae, Streptophyta, Magnoliopsida, Poales, Poaceae. The record is from Rfam.